RNAcentral lists this ribosomal RNA (301 nucleotides) under uncultured bacterium. RNAcentral describes it as "partial 16S ribosomal RNA". It matches the Rfam family "Bacterial small subunit ribosomal RNA", at positions 509 to 807 of the family's 1533-position model. The record is from RNAcentral.
CAGCCGCCGCGGUAAUACGAGGGGGGCAAGCGUUGUUCGGAAUUAUUGGGCGUAAAGGGCGCGUAGGCGGUUUGACAAGUUUCAUGUGAAAUCUAUGGGCUCAACCCAUAGUCCGCAUGGAAAACUGUCGGGCAUGAGUAUGGGAGAGGUGAGUGGAAUUUCCGGUGUAGCGGUGAAAUGCGUAGAUAUCGGAGGGAACACCUGAGGCGAAAGCGGCUCACUGGACCAUAACUGACGCUGAGGCGCGAAAGCUAGGGGAGCAAACAGGAUUAGAUACCCCGGUAGUCCCUGUCUCUUAUAC